Molecule: ribosomal RNA, 478 nt
Filed under: uncultured bacterium
Lineage: Bacteria
Description: partial 16S ribosomal RNA
Rfam family: Bacterial small subunit ribosomal RNA
Source: RNAcentral
GACGAACGCUGGCGGCGUGCUUAACACAUGCAAGUCGAACGGUAAGGCCCUUCGGGGUACACGAGUGGCGAACGGGUGAGUAACACGUGGGUGAUCUGCCCUGCACUUCGGGAUAAGCCUGGGAAACUGGGUCUAAUACCGGAUAGGACCCUGGGAUGCAUGUCCUGGGGUGGAAAGCUUUUGCGGUGUGGGAUGGGCCCGCGGCCUAUCAGCUUGUUGGUGGGGUGAUGGCCUACCAAGGCGACGACGGGUAGCCGGCCUGAGAGGGUGACCGGCCACACUGGGACUGAGAUACGGCCCAGACUCCUACGGGAGGCAGCAGUGGGGAAUAUUGCACAAUGGGCGCAAGCCUGAUGCAGCGACGCCGCGUGAGGGAUGACGGCCUUCGGGUUGUAAACCUCUUUCAGCACCGACGAAGCGCAAGUGACGGUAGGUGCAGAAGAAGGACCGGCUAACUAUGUGCCAGCCGCCGCGGUAA